GAGCUCCUCACCCUGGGAGACAGGGGCCCCUCCACCAGCUGCUGUGGGAAUGCCACAUCUGGUAUUCCUGCAGCCACUUCCUCUCCAGGGAGAAGGUUGGUCUCCACCCUGUGCGGUUGCAUAAAAUGAUGCUGGGCUCCUGGGAGCAAGCCUGCUGGGAGCUGCGGAACAUCCUGCAGGCUCCUGUAGGGCUGGAGGCUCUGCUCAGCUGAUUAAACAUGCCUCAUCUGGGAAGACAUUUAAAGGGACCAUCAUGUGGCAUGGCCAGGCUUUCCGUAGCUGAACAUUGUAUUUCAUAAGGCGGAAAGCACAGUUUUUGUUUUAAAUGCAGCUAAGUGCGCUGGAAAUUGGCCUUCAAAGCUGGGAGCCCCAACCUGCCUUGUGGAAGAAGCUCACCCUGUCCACUCUAGGUGUAAGGGUCCCCUUGAGCGAGCCAGGAUUCUUUUAAGUUGCAAGUGACUGAGAAGACACUCUGUAGAUAAUGGAAACCACAUCCUUGGUCUCACAAGUCAUCAAGAAGUUCUAAUGGAUUACGUGCUUCUUUAAGCAACGAGGUUGACUCUUUUUCCCAACCUGGGUCAUGAACAGAGUGUUGGUGAAGUUCUUGUUCAGAAUCCUGAUUACAGAUGAAAACCAACAUGGACCAGCUUAAGAAAAGAUGUUCCUUGGAAGAAAUGGGUGCUCCUGUGGACUGGCAGGGCUGACUGGGUCAGGGGGCACGUCCUACACAAGUCCAAACCAGGACUAAGAAACAGGUCACUGACCCCAUGACUCUGCCCUCAUCCCUUUCACCCAAACUAUUUAAAGAGGAGCAUAGAAAAGGAAGACUUCAGGCAAAACCAAGACAAACAGAAACACAAUGUAAUUCAAGAACACAUUCCAAAUACCUGCUCUUUAAAUCUUUCCUUUUACACCUUAAGUUAAUUUCACUUUCCUCCAGGUAUGUGUGAGGUAGUUCUCAUUGUGUUUUAGACAUCUGGAGUUUCCUAAAACUCCCGGUUCAUCUUCUCUUCUGAGCAACAUGUAUUUACCACCUUUUCUUUCAACCUGUUAGGUAUUUCCCUGCCUACUUGAGUUCAUAACCAAUUUUGUGUUUUCUCAUUUAAAUUUCAGUUUAAUGUGAUAACAGAGUAUGUUACUCUGGUCUCCCCUGAAAAGUUAAAUUGCUACAUGUUUGUUUUGUGGCUGUUCUGUCACAGCACAGCUUUCUGCUCUGGGGGAGAAGAGAAUCGGUUCUGACAGGUCCCACUCUCAACUAACUUAUCAUCUGAUCAAAUAAAAUGUGAUUGUUUCAAAAUUGGUCUUGGGUCAAAUAGAAAUGUUUUCCACAAUGAUUUCAGGCAUCACUUUUCAAAUGCUUUUUUAAGACUUAGAGCCUGUUGUAAUUAGGAAUUUUCAAAAAAUUCGGUCCGGUAAAAUCUUCCCUAGUGUCUCCCAGACUGGUUUCCUCCUUCUCUGAAUGUUUUUUAUGGCAGGUAGCACACAAUUUAUUUGUUGUCGAAUUGUUUGUAGUGUGUUGCUCUUCUCUGCAUCCAAUUGAAGCGUGACUGUGGGAGGCAAGGGCAGUGAUGGUGACUUUCCUGUCCUUCAUAUCUGCUCUAGAGUGCCAGACAAAGAGUUGACACAAAGCUUUGCCUUCGAGGCUUAUAGGUUGAAGGCUGUAAGAAAUCUUUAUCUCUCUAAUGUCUACACAUUUCUGGCCUGCUGCUUUUCAUCUGCCCACAAUGGAGAAAUCUUGUUAGAACUGUGGACCAAGUAGGAGUAACUUAGCUUUGAGUCACAUCCGGCAAGAUCUCUUAUCCCUGAAAUUCACAGCCACUAGACAUAAGUGUUUGACAUUUUAAUAUCUAUUUUGCUUACUUGGAAGUUUCUCUUCUCCAAUCUUGUUCUUACCUUUUAGUUAUUACAAUGUUUUGAACCAGCCAAGGUCAUUAGACAAUUAAGUCCUGAGUAAAUACCAUAUCACUAUCAUGGCCCUCUAAGCAAAUUCACAAAUGUAUUUUUAUUAUCAAAUCCAGAAAAUGGGGACUCCUGGAUGGAUGACUUGGCUGGAUUUUUGGUAGAGGAAUGAAAAAUCUAGUAAA
Long non-coding RNA from Ictidomys tridecemlineatus (thirteen-lined ground squirrel), 2084 nucleotides. RefSeq lists it as uncharacterized. The record is from RefSeq and is a predicted model, not a curated record. Lineage: Eukaryota; Metazoa; Chordata; Mammalia; Rodentia; Sciuridae.